RNAcentral lists this ribosomal RNA (449 nucleotides) under uncultured bacterium. Its description in RNAcentral is "partial 16S ribosomal RNA". It matches the Rfam family "Bacterial small subunit ribosomal RNA", at positions 29 to 523 of the family's 1533-position model. The record is from RNAcentral.
AACGAACGCUGGCGGCAGGCUUAACACAUGCAAGUCGAACGCAUCCUUCGGGGUGAGUGGCAGACGGGUGAGUAACGCGUGGGAACGUGCCCCUCAGUUCGGGAUAACCCAGGGAAACUUGGGCUAAUACCGGAUACGUGCGAGAGCAGAAAGAUUUAUCGCUGAAGGAUCGGCCCGCGUCUGAUUAGCUAGUUGGUGGGGUAAUGGCCCACCAAGGCGACGAUCAGUAGCUGGUCUGAGAGGAUGAUCAGCCACAUUGGGACUGAGACACGGCCCAACCUCCUACGGGAGGCAGCAGUGGGGAAUAUUGGACGAUGGGCGCAAGCCUGAUCCAGCCAUGCCGCGUGAGUGAUGAAGGCCUUAGGGUUGUAAAGCUCUUUCGUCCGGGACGAUAAUGACGGUACCGGAAGAAGAAGCCCCGGCUAACUUCGUGCCAGCCGCCGCCGUAA